GCUUCUUUUUCCNCCGGAGCUUGCUCCACCGGAAAAAGAGGAGUGGCGAACGGGUGAGUAACACGUGGGUAACCUGCCCAUCAGAAGGGGAUAACACUUGGAAACAGGUGCUAAUACCGUAUAACAAUCGAAACCGCAUGGUUUUGAUUUGAAAGGCGCUUUCGGGUGUCGCUGAUGGAUGGACCCGCGGUGCAUUAGCUAGUUGGUGAGGUAACGGCUCACCAAGGCCACGAUGCAUAGCCGACCUGAGAGGGUGAUCGGCCACAUUGGGACUGAGACACGGCCCAAACUCCUACGGGAGGCAGCAGUAGGGAAUCUUCGGCAAUGGACGAAAGUCUGACCGAGCAACGCCGCGUGAGUGAAGAAGGUUUUCGGAUCGUAAAACUCUGUUGUUAGAGAAGAACAAGGAUGAGAGUAACUGUUCAUCCCUUGACGGUAUCUAACCAGAAAGCCACGGCUAACUACGUGCCAGCAGCCGCGGUAAUACGUAGGUGGCAAGCGUUGUCCGGAUUUAUUGGGCGUAAAGCGAGCGCAGGCGGUUUCUUAAGUCUGAUGUGAAAGCCCCCGGCUCAACCGGGGAGGGUCAUUGGAAACUGGGAGACUUGAGUGCAGAAGAGGAGAGUGGAAUUCCAUGUGUAGCGGUGAAAUGCGUAGAUAUAUGGAGGAACACCAGUGNCGAANNNGGCUCUCUGGUCUGUAACUGACGCUGANGNUCGAAAGCGUGGGGAGCAAACAGGAUUANAUACCCUGGUAGUCCNCGCCGU
This 764-nucleotide ribosomal RNA is filed under the name Enterococcus faecium. RNAcentral describes it as "bacterial SSU rRNA". It matches the Rfam family "Bacterial small subunit ribosomal RNA", at positions 68 to 803 of the family's 1533-position model. Lineage: Bacteria; Bacillati; Bacillota; Bacilli; Lactobacillales; Enterococcaceae. The record is from RNAcentral.